AAAUAAUAACUCAAAUGACAUUAUGAUCUCUUAUACAAGUGAGUAAGAACAACAACUUUUUCUUUUUUUAUCUGCUUACUGGUUUCUCUGGGGUCCAUAAGGAUGUCCCCUUAUGCGUGAACCCAAUAUCUAAACUUGUCGAUUAUCCAGCCGUCCCCAUACCCCAUACAGUAUGAGCGCUAAAAUGUCAUCCCUCGAUACCCCGUCC
Molecule: long non-coding RNA, 208 nt
Filed under: Carica papaya (papaya)
Lineage: Eukaryota; Viridiplantae; Streptophyta; Magnoliopsida; Brassicales; Caricaceae
Description: long non-coding RNA (CPAP_LNC012756)
Source: RNAcentral